AGUGAACGCUGGCGGUAGGCCUAACACAUGCAAGUCGAACGGCAGCACAGUAAGAGCUUGCUCUUACGGGUGGCGAGUGGCGGACGGGUGAGGAAUACAUCGGCAUCUACUUUUUCGUGGGGGAUAACGUAGGGACACUUACGCUAAUACCGCAUACGACCUACGGGUGAAAGCAGGGGAUCUUCGCACCUUGCGCGAUUGAUUGAGCCGAUGUCGGAUUAGCUAGUUGGCGGGGUAAAGGCCCACCAAGGCGACGAUCCGUAGCUGGUCUGAGAGGAUGAUCAGCCACACUGGAACUGAGACACGGUCCAGACUCCUACGGGAGGCAGCAGUGGGGAAUAUUGGACAAUGGGCGCAAGCCUGAUCCAGCCAUACCGCGUGGGUGAAGAAGGCCUUCGGGUUGUAAAGCCCUUUUGUUGGGAAAGAAAAGCAGCAGGUUAAUACCCCGCUGUUCUGACGGUACCCAAAGAAUAAGCACCGGCUAACUUCGUG
This 492-nucleotide ribosomal RNA is filed under the name uncultured bacterium. RNAcentral describes it as "partial 16S ribosomal RNA". It matches the Rfam family "Bacterial small subunit ribosomal RNA", at positions 29 to 507 of the family's 1533-position model. The record is from RNAcentral.